This 57-nucleotide transfer RNA is filed under the name Loxodonta africana (African savanna elephant). It matches the Rfam family "tRNA", at positions 8 to 63 of the family's 71-position model. Rfam says of the family: Transfer RNA (tRNA) molecules are approximately 80 nucleotides in length. Their secondary structure includes four short double-helical elements and three loops (D, anti-codon, and T loops). Further hydrogen bonds mediate the characteristic L-shaped molecular structure. tRNAs have two regions of fundamental functional importance: the anti-codon, which is responsible for specific mRNA codon recognition, and the 3' end, to which the tRNAs corresponding amino acid is attached (by aminoacyl-tRNA synthetases). tRNAs cope with the degeneracy of the genetic code in two manners: having more than one tRNA (with a specific anti-codon) for a particular amino acid; and 'wobble' base-pairing, i.e. permitting non-standard base-pairing at the 3rd anti-codon position. The record is from Rfam by way of RNAcentral. Lineage: Eukaryota; Metazoa; Chordata; Mammalia; Proboscidea; Elephantidae.
UGGCACAAUGGUUAAGCAUUUGGCUGCUAACCAAAAGGUCGGUGGUUCGAACCCACC